UAAUUUUUAGUAUAAGAUGUACAAAAGUUUUUGAUACUUUAAGAAACAGUUUGAUUCUGUUAAGAUUAA
Molecule: transfer RNA, 69 nt
Filed under: Ochthebius uniformis
Lineage: Eukaryota; Metazoa; Arthropoda; Insecta; Coleoptera; Hydraenidae
Description: tRNA-Gln
Source: RNAcentral